RNAcentral lists this ribosomal RNA (207 nucleotides) under uncultured bacterium. RNAcentral describes it as "partial 16S ribosomal RNA". It matches the Rfam family "Bacterial small subunit ribosomal RNA", at positions 568 to 774 of the family's 1533-position model. The record is from RNAcentral.
CACGUAGGCGGCCUGGUAAGUCAGAUGUGAAAGCCCGGGGCUUAACCCCGGAAGUGCAUUUGAUACUGUCAGGCUUGAGUAUGGGAGGGGGAAGUGGAAUUCCUGGUGUAGAGGUGAAAUUCGUAGAUAUCAGGAGGAACACCGGUGGCGAAGGCGACUUCCUGGACCAAUACUGACGCUGAGGUGCGAAGGCGUGGGUAGCAAACA